UACGUAGGGGGCUAGCGUUGCUCGGAAUGACUGGGCGUAAAGGGCGCGUAGGCGGUUCGUACAGUUGGAUGUGAAAUUCCUGGGCUUAACCUGGGGGCUGCAUUCAAUACGUGCGGGCUUGAGUGUGGAAGAGGGUUGUGGAAUUCCCAGUGUAGAGGUGAAAUGCGUAGAUAUUGGGAAGAACACCGGUGGCGAAGGCGGCAACCUGGUCCAUAACUGACGCUGAGGCGCGAAAGCGUGGGGAGCAAACAGG
This 253-nucleotide ribosomal RNA is filed under the name uncultured bacterium. RNAcentral's name for it is "partial 16S ribosomal RNA". It matches the Rfam family "Bacterial small subunit ribosomal RNA", at positions 524 to 776 of the family's 1533-position model. The record is from RNAcentral.